GUAUUACUAGAUGGUCACACAACAGACUAUUUGUUUCUUGGAAAUUUCAUUUAUACAUAUGUGAUAGUUACUGUUUGUCUGAAAGCUGGUUUGGAGACAAUGUCUUGGAAUAAAUUUAGUCAUAUAGCAAUUUGGGGAAGCAUAAUAAUAUGGCUGGCAUUUUUUGCAAUUUACUGUUUCAUUUGGCCCACCAUUCCUCUUGCUUCCGAUAUGACAGGACAGGUCACUAUGGUGAUGGCUUGUCCACACUUCUGGCUGGGUUUUUUCAUAGUCCCUACUGCAUGCCUAAUUCAAAAUGUAUUAUUG
Molecule: long non-coding RNA, 306 nt
Organism: Talpa occidentalis (Iberian mole)
Lineage: Eukaryota; Metazoa; Chordata; Mammalia; Eulipotyphla; Talpidae
Exons: 4
Source: RefSeq, a predicted model, not a curated record